This 444-nucleotide ribosomal RNA is filed under the name uncultured beta proteobacterium. Its description in RNAcentral is "bacterial SSU rRNA". It matches the Rfam family "Bacterial small subunit ribosomal RNA", at positions 29 to 470 of the family's 1533-position model. The record is from RNAcentral. Lineage: Bacteria; Pseudomonadati; Pseudomonadota; Betaproteobacteria.
AUUGAACGCUGGCGGCAUGCCUUACACAUGCAAGUCGAACGGCAGCACGGGUGCUUGCACCUGGUGGCGAGUGGCGAACGGGUGAGUAGAGCAUCGGAACAUGCCCAGAUAUGGGGGAUAGCCCGGCGAAAGCCGGAUUAAUACCGCAUAAUGCCUGAGGGAGAAAGCGGGGGACUCGUAAGGGCCUCGCGUAUUUGGAGUGGCCGAUGUCGGAUUAGCUGGUUGGUGGGGUAAAGGCCUACCAAGGCGACGAUCCGUAGCGGGUCUGAGAGGACGAUCCGCCACACUGGAACUGAGACACGGUCCAGACUCCUACGGGAGGCAGCAGUGGGGAAUUUUGGACAAUGGGGGCAACCCUGAUCCAGCCAUGCCGCGUGAGUGAAGAAGGCCUUCGGGUUGUAAAGCUCUUUCGGUGGGGAAGAAAUGGUCGUGGUAAAUAAUCGC